RNAcentral lists this unclassified non-coding RNA (361 nucleotides) under uncultured Tulostoma. Its description in RNAcentral is "sequence contains ITS1". The stretch from base 1 to 105 matches the Rfam family "5.8S ribosomal RNA", at positions 50 to 154 of the family's 154-position model. The record is from RNAcentral. Lineage: Eukaryota; Fungi; Basidiomycota; Agaricomycetes; Agaricales; Agaricaceae.
GAAAUGCGAUAAGUAAUGUGAAUUGCAGAAUUCAGUGAAUCAUCGAAUCUUUGAACGCACCUUGCGCUCCUUGGUAUUCCGAGGAGCAUGCCUGUUUGAGUGUCAUUUAAUUCUCAACCCCUCCAGCUUUUGUGGCUGGCUUGGUGGCUUGGAUGUGGGGGAUUGAUUUGCGGGCCUCCUUCAGAGGUCGGCUCCCCUGAAAUGCAUUAGCGGAACCGUUUGCGGGAACUGUCACUGGUGUGAUAAUUAUCUACGCCAAAGACAACUGCUCUCUGGUCAUUCUGCUUCUAAUUGUCCGUCAUUGGACAACGAUAUUUGAAUGCUUGACCUCAAAUCAGGUAGGACUACCCGCUGAACUUAA